This 483-nucleotide ribosomal RNA is filed under the name uncultured bacterium. RNAcentral describes it as "partial 16S ribosomal RNA". It matches the Rfam family "Bacterial small subunit ribosomal RNA", at positions 30 to 507 of the family's 1533-position model. The record is from RNAcentral.
UUGAACGCUGGCGGCAGGCCUAACACAUGCAAGUCGAGCGGAUGAAGGGAGCUUGCUCCUGGAUUCAGCGGCGGACGGGUGAGUAAUGCCUAGGAAUCUGCCUGGUAGUGGGGGAUAACGUCCGGAAACGGGCGCUAAUACCGCAUAUGUCCUGAGGGAGAAAGUGGGGGAUCUUCGGACCUCACGCUAUCAGAUGAGCCUAGGUCGGAUUAGCUAGUUGGUGGGGUAAAGGCCUACCAAGGCGACGAUCCGUAACUGGUCUGAGAGGAUGAUCAGUCACACUGGAACUGAGACACGGUCCAGACUCCUACGGGAGGCAGCAGUGGGGAAUAUUGGACAAUGGGCGAAAGCCUGAUCCAGCCAUGCCGCGUGUGUGAAGAAGGUCUUCGGAUUGUAAAGCACUUUAAGUUGGGAGGAAGGGCAGUAAGUUAAUACCUUGCUGUUUUGACGUUACCAACAGAAUAAGCACCGGCUAACUUCGUG